CAGCAAUGCAAACUGCAGAUAGAACUUUUGCCGCACGAAAGAACACGCACUUUUGAUAGCCCCAGUGAUGGUGAACGUAAACUCCCAUGCUAUAAACAACUGCACCAAAACAUAGACAUAUAAAAAAAGAAAGAAUAAAUCAUCAGAGCCAGCCGCUCCAUAAUAAUAUAAUAUUCUGAAGUAGCCAAACUUACGUGUACUCCUGCAGCAUUGGUCUCCAUCUCUGUUGCUUCAGGUAAUCCACAUUAAGACCCACAGCAGGCUUGUUGUUCUGUGUUGGUUAGUUCCAUAGAUUCAUUAUCCAUGUCUAUCGCUUCAUCCUCCUCUUGCUCGUUUUGUUCU
Molecule: long non-coding RNA, 342 nt
Organism: Sander lucioperca (pikeperch)
Lineage: Eukaryota; Metazoa; Chordata; Actinopteri; Perciformes; Percidae
Exons: 4
Source: RefSeq, a predicted model, not a curated record